UUCAGCCUCGUACUCUAGAGAUGGAUACUGCCCAGUUUUCCUUAAUCUUCAAACAUGUAUUCUGAGCGAUCGAAGAGUAGUGAUGAUGCUGCGCUUUUAAAUGACGAAAUGAAAAUAGAAAUUACGCGUAGCAUGGAGAAUACCAGACGUCACAAGAUUAUUCCCGCCCGUUUAUGGAUGUCACACAGCUCCGCCUUCUCAACUUUGUUGAUGUAGCCUAUUCUACGCUUUUACCAAAUUAUUUAUUAAAGGUGAAAUAGUUAAAGGUU
This is a long non-coding RNA of Stegodyphus dumicola, 269 nucleotides long. NCBI's taxonomy places the organism in Eukaryota, Metazoa, Arthropoda, Arachnida, Araneae, Eresidae. The record is from RefSeq and is a predicted model, not a curated record.